RNAcentral lists this ribosomal RNA (497 nucleotides) under uncultured bacterium. RNAcentral's name for it is "partial 16S ribosomal RNA". It matches the Rfam family "Bacterial small subunit ribosomal RNA", at positions 28 to 507 of the family's 1533-position model. The record is from RNAcentral.
GAUGAACGCUGGCGGCGUGCCUAAUACAUGCAAGUCGAGCGAACGGACGAGAAGCUUGCUUCUCUGAUGUUAGCGGCGGACGGGUGAGUAACACGUGGAUAACCUACCUAUAAGACUGGGAUAACUUCGGGAAACCGGAGCUAAUACCGGAUAAUAUUUUGAACCGCAUGGUUCAAAAGUGAAAGACGGUCUUGCUGUCACUUAUAGAUGGAUCCGCGCUGCAUUAGCUAGUUGGUAAGGUAACGGCUUACCAAGGCAACGAUGAAUAGCCGACCUGAGAGGGUGAUCGGCCACACUGGAACUGAGACACGGUCCAGACUCCUACGGGAGGCAGCAGUAGGGAAUCUUCCGCAAUGGGCGAAAGCCUGACGGAGCAACGCCGCGUGAGUGAUGAAGGUCUUCGGAUCGUAAAACUCUGUUAUUAGGGAAGAACAUAUGUGUAAGUAACUGUGCACAUCUUGACGGUACCUAAUCAGAAAGCCACGGCUAACUACGUG